This 418-nucleotide long non-coding RNA is filed under the name Citrus maxima (pomelo). RNAcentral describes it as "long non-coding RNA (CMAX_LNC003591)". Lineage: Eukaryota; Viridiplantae; Streptophyta; Magnoliopsida; Sapindales; Rutaceae. The record is from RNAcentral.
ACCGAUAGGGUUGACAUUGCCCCAGUAGGUCUCGGCCUGCGGAUGCUGUAACGGGUCACCGUACACUUCACUAGUGCUUGUUAACAAGAACCGUGCCCCAACUCUUUUAGCUAGCCCUAACAUGUUGAGUGUCCCCACCACGUUCGUCUUGUUCACCCCCACCGCACGCAAAAAUAACAGUCAAAGGAAUUCAAACUUCAAACAAAUUAACAACAGGUUUCAACAAAAAUAAUAAACAAAUUAAUUUUAAUUUAAUUUUUCUACAUGUUAAUGAAAAAGGAUAUGAUGGUCUUGACAGGAUUGAACUUGUAAUGAACAGGCGAGGCGGGGCAAGCAAGAUGGUAGAUCUGAUCAACUUCUAGAAGAAUUGGCUCCACGACGUCGUGUCGAAUGAGCUCGAACCGCGGGUUACCAAAAU